AUGUCAGUGGCAGAAAAUUCUGGUCCUUCAAAAUAUUGUGCAAACUCAUCACUGCACUUUGGACAAGGUACCCAGCUGACAGUGCUUGGGAACAACAAUGAAAUCAUACCUCCAGCUGUGGCCAUUUUUUCCCCAUCAAAGCAAAGAAGAGCAAGGCCACAUUGGUAUGGCUGGCCUCUGGUUUCUACCCUGACCACCUGAAUCUGGUCUGGAAGGUGAAUGGUGCUAAAAGGACAGAAGGCGUGGGGACAGAUGAGUUUUCCACGUGGAAUGGGAGUACCUACUCAUUGACCAGCCAUCCUUCGGCCUCAUUCCAGGAAUGGUUCAACACUUUGAAUCAUUUUGAGUGUGUUGCCAAUUUUUUUAAGAAUGGAACACUGGAAUCAGUACACAAAUUAAUUUACAGUGAUGCUGGUGAACCAAUUCCAAAUCAGUCAUACCAAUCUAUCAGAAGUGCUACAGCUGGGAAGUUCAUGUACAUUAUGAUCAUUUUCAAGAGCGUUUUGUAUGGGAUGUUUGUGAUGGGGCUGAUGCAUAGGGCCAAGGAGAAAAACACAGUCCUACUCAGUACACAUUUGUCUUAA
Tyto alba (common barn owl) is the source of this 584-nucleotide non-coding RNA. The record is from the annotation of a RefSeq genome assembly. Lineage: Eukaryota; Metazoa; Chordata; Aves; Strigiformes; Tytonidae.